UCCGGCCGGGAACUCAAAGGAGACUGCCAGUGAUAAACUGGAGGAAGGUGGGGAUGACGUCAAGUCAUCAUGGCCCUUACGAGUAGGGCUACACACGUGCUACAAUGGCAUAUACAAAGAGAAGCGACCUCGCGAGAGCAAGCGGACCUCAUAAAGUAUGUCGUAGUCCGGAUUGGAGUCUGCAACUCGACUCCAUGAAGUCGGAAUCGCUAGUAAUCGUAGAUCAGAAUGCUACGGUGAAUACGUUCCCGGGCCUUGUACACACCGCCCGUCACACCAUGGGAGUGGGUUGCAAAAGAAGUAGGUAGCUUAACCUUCGGGAGGGCGCUUACCACUUUGUGAUUCAUGACUGGGGUGAAGUCGUAACAAGGUAACCGUAGGGGAACCUGCGGUUGGAUCACCUCCUUA
Molecule: ribosomal RNA, 408 nt
Filed under: Klebsiella aerogenes
Lineage: Bacteria; Pseudomonadati; Pseudomonadota; Gammaproteobacteria; Enterobacterales; Enterobacteriaceae
Description: bacterial SSU rRNA
Rfam family: Bacterial small subunit ribosomal RNA
Source: RNAcentral